UCGCCCCGCCCUCCGCUGCCGCUCAGCUUGACGUGAAUCGCCAUUGGUAUCGAGUGAAUACGGCGGCGGCGUGCGUGAGGACAAGCUAGGGGAGUUCCGGCGCAGGCCCAGAACCUGAUAGACUCUUUGGUUGAAGCCAAGUCUAAAAUUGUCGUUAAGGUCAAAUAUAUCCCACUUGAGCUACAACACCAAUCGUAGUUAAGAUGACUGUGACCAUAUAAUGGAGGGAGCUUGUCAAAUUUCAACUAAAUAUUAAGCCUGAUAUCAAAGACUUGGAAAUGCUUCUCGAAUCUUCGUCCAGGCUGGUGGCACACUGAACAAGUUAUGCCAUUACUUUUGCAUGCAGUAAUCUUGUUCGUGCCUUUGGAAGCAACGAGAUUUGUCCAGACUGAAACAAAUGCAGCAAGGAACAUAUUUGCUAGAGGGAAACAUGUGCACUGCAGUUCUGUUGAGCGAGAUUAAGUCGGGUGCACAUUUGUUUGGGGAAUCUUAUGGGAAGUAGCGAAACUAUGAUUUGGCCGUGGAGGCGUCACCUAACAAUUGUGCUUUACAGGAGUUGGCGAUGGAAAUAGCUGGGGUGUCAUUAUUCUUGCUUGAUCUGGGCGUAUCACUGUUGACCUGCUGGAAGAGGUGUGCUAGGAGUACAACAUACAAGCUGACGUCGGUAUCGCGACAUCAUCAGGGAGGUCGGCAAUGAGAACAUGCGAUGUUCAAAUUGACUAUGGGAUGUUCGUGGCAAUGGUGAAGAAGGGGAUCAUCAGGAAUGGAAGUCUGACCAUCAUUCUCCAUGGAGCAGACGACCACGACUAUCCUUUGAUUGAAAUAUUCAUAUACAACACUAUAUUUGUUCGCAUUGUGCUAUAGAUCAUAUCAAUAUUUUUAAGUCAAGUCGUGUAAAAAAACUGAGGAUAACAAGUAUAGGAGAAGCUUUAAUAUUAGAGCAACAGGGGAGGAGCAAAUGAUUGAAUGGGCUAUCAGCCGUGUAAAAUAAAACUGACGGUAACGUCACCAGGUGGAAAACUAUAUUUGAUUGACAUCAUAACACUAGCAAGGUGAAUAACAAUGUAACAUUAUCUUUUCAUUAGUUGAUCCAUUCAACUUCUGGUUGAUAUGAUUGACAUGAUAUUUGGAAA
Triticum dicoccoides is the source of this 1133-nucleotide long non-coding RNA. RefSeq lists it as uncharacterized. The record is from RefSeq and is a predicted model, not a curated record. The transcript is spliced from 7 exons. NCBI's taxonomy places the organism in Eukaryota, Viridiplantae, Streptophyta, Magnoliopsida, Poales, Poaceae.